CGCCGCCGCUGCCCAGGCCGGCCUUGGUCUCUGGGGGCACCUGUUGUGUGUACACAUAGAAAUUGAAUUUAACGUUCCCCGUAAAAUGCUCAAUAAGACAUUUAAACAGCGAAACAGAGAGAAGUCUACGGAUGACAACAAAAACAACAACGACGACGAUUGAUAACAACGGCGACUGUACCUAGUACUUUGGGACUGGCGAAAAUCGAGGAUAAAUCGUUUAACCGCCAUAGAAACUAUGAAAGUCCAGAAAAUCCAUGGAAUCUGUUUGAUUUUGCUGUUGCUGGUCGAGCUACGCGAUAGAUCGUUGACAAUAUCGCAUCAAAUGUGUGGAAUGAAAUGAAGGUGAAGGUUUUAGUAGUAA
Long non-coding RNA from Drosophila virilis, 364 nucleotides. RefSeq lists it as uncharacterized. Lineage: Eukaryota; Metazoa; Arthropoda; Insecta; Diptera; Drosophilidae. The record is from RefSeq and is a predicted model, not a curated record.